CCCUACGGGACGCAGCAGUGAGGAAUAUUGGUCAAUGGGCGCGAGCCUGAACCAGCCAAGUAGCGUGCAGGAUGACGGCCCUCCGGGUUGUAAACUGCUUUUAGUUGGGAAUAAAAGGGGGCUCGUGAGCCCCGUAUUGUAUGUACCAUCAGAAAAAGGACCGGCUAAUUCCGUGCCAGCAGCCGCGGUAAUACGGAAGGUCCGGGCGUUAUCCGGAUUUAUUGGGUUUAAAGGGAGCGGAGGCAGGCUUUUAAGUAAGCUGUGAAAGUCCGCGGCUCAAACGUGGAAUUGCAGUUGAAACUGGG
Molecule: ribosomal RNA, 305 nt
Filed under: uncultured bacterium
Lineage: Bacteria
Description: bacterial SSU rRNA
Rfam family: Bacterial small subunit ribosomal RNA
Source: RNAcentral